This 229-nucleotide unclassified non-coding RNA is filed under the name plant metagenome. RNAcentral's name for it is "partial contains small subunit ribosomal RNA, internal transcribed spacer 1, and 5.8S ribosomal RNA". The record is from RNAcentral.
UCUCCGUAGGUGAACCUGCGGAGGGAUCAUUACAGAGUUCAUGCCCUAACGGGUAGAUCUCCCACCCUAUGUUAUCAUCACUUUGUUGCUUUGGCGGGCCGUCAGGCCUCGGCUUGGCUACCGGCUCUCGCUAGUAAGCGCCCGCCAGAGAACCCCAAACCCUGAAUAUCAGUGUCGUCUGAGUACUAUAUAAUAGUUAAAACUUUCAACAACGGAUCUCUUGGUUCUG